GAUGAACGCUGGCGGCGUGCCUAAUACAUGCAAGUCGAGCGAACGGACGAGAAGCUUGCUUCUCUGAUGUUAGCGGCGGACGGGUGAGUAACACGUGGAUAACCUACCUAUAAGACUGGGAUAACUUCGGGAAACCGUAGCUAAUACCGGAUAAUAUUUUGAACCGCAUGGUUCAAAAGUGAAAGACGGUCUUGCUGUCACUUAUAGAUGGAUCCGCGGUGCAUUAGCUAGUUGGUAAGGUAACGGCUUACCAAGGCAACGAUGCAUAGCCGACCUGAGAGGGUGAUCGGCCACACUGGAACUGAGACACGGUCCAGACUCCUACGGGAGGCAGCAGUAGGGAAUCUUCCGCAAUGGGCGAAAGCCUGACGGAGCAACGCCGCGUGAGUGAUGAAGGUCUUCGGAUCGUAAAACUCUGUUAUUAGGGAAGAACAUAUGUGUAAGUAACUGUGCACAUCUUGACGGUACCUAAUCAGAAAGCCACGGCUAACUACGUG
This 497-nucleotide ribosomal RNA is filed under the name uncultured bacterium. RNAcentral describes it as "partial 16S ribosomal RNA". It matches the Rfam family "Bacterial small subunit ribosomal RNA", at positions 28 to 507 of the family's 1533-position model. The record is from RNAcentral.